CUGUCCCUGUAACGUGCUGGCAGGUCCCCAUGCUCGCUGGGGCUCUGCUGUCCCUUCUGGGGAAGUCGGUGGCCGGCUCCGUAGGUCUGCUCUGAGGACAGCUUCCAGGAGAGAAGCACUGAGGUCCAGAAGCGGCCUCCCGUCCCCCUGAGGCCCUCCUUAAUUCUCAGCGCAUUUGAACAUCUGCUGACAAAUCCUCCGUGAACUCCCCUCCCGACCAGCGAUCUGGCUGAGUUGACCUGUGGACGCUGACCUUCACCUGUAGAGUCCCCCGGAAUCCCCACCUUCUGUGCCUGUGAAGGUCCCCAGCACACCCCUGAGUGGGAGCAGCUGUCCUCGUCUGGUUCCCAAAUCCAGAGGGAACGUGUCCUAUGGAAUGAAAUCAAUACCAAGUCUCCACGAUCCCCUUCAAAAAGCUGAGGUGAGAGCCUUCCAGACUCAGGCUGCCAGGCGGCCUCACUCUGCCAAGCUGACCACCCCCUGGAACGCGGCGCAGAAAUGCUUAACCAAAACGCCAGCAAAGGAAUCCAAAGUCCACAUCGAAGGACGUUACUCCAGGACCAAGAGGGCUCAUCCCAGGAAGGUCCGGCAGGCUUCACAUCACAAGUACCCAGGAGGGGUCCACCAUGGAACGGGCCAAGUGGGAAACCUGCUUGCCCAGCCCGAUGCCCACCUGACAGGGACUCCACAGACCGCGCCAGGGAGGGAACUGUGUCUGUGGCAGGAGGCGGCAGCUCACUCCCCGAGACCAGGAACAAGAAAAAGCUGCCCGUCCAGCCCAGGUCCAGCCACUGUGAUGGAGGCUCUGGGGGAGGAAGAGGUGACACUGACCACGUGACUGUGGCCAGCGACGUCCAGAGGAGCCACAGGGACUGCUGGAGAGACAGUGGAGUUUCCACACCCAAAGCGGGCAGCGGGCAGCAGGGAUCGAAUCCAGGGUGCUCCACCACUGAGCCACACCCCAGCCGUUUUCAUUUUAAGACACGGUGUCCCUAAGUUGCCCGGUUGGCCUCAGACUCGUGAUCCUCCUGCCUCAGCCCCUGGAGUUGCUGGGGCUGACUUUCCGCCGCUGUGUCUCCCCGGUGAGGUGUCGGUUCAGAUCUUCUGCCCAGGGUCAAACUGGUGGUUCAUCCUGGUGUGUAUUAAGAGACCCCGGGCAUUUGGAGUCAUGGUCCUUUAUGAGACAGUCUUCAAGUGUGUCCCAUCUAAGCUUGUCCUGGAGUGUGUCUGGCGGGUGGUAUUCGCCCGUCUGUCCCUGAGUGUGCUGGGCUUUGGCAUCCCUUCCCAGAGGCUGGCCAGAGGGUGAGCGGGAUGCAGUGGGGCAGGCACCUCUUCCUGCCUUCCCUGUGAGGCUCCUGUGACGCUUGAGCUCACCAGCGGAGCCACCUGGGUUUGAGGUUUGCUUUAUGGUGGGCAAAGUGUUUUUUUUUGUGUGUGUGUGUGUGUGUGUGUGUGUGUGUGUGGUGCUGGGACGGAGCCCAGGGCCUUGUGCAUGCGAGGCAAGCCCUCCACCAGCUGAGCUGUGUCCCCAGCCCCAGCAGUUUCCGUCUCUGGAUUCAACGUGUAGUCGACACAGGACUGUUCAGAUUUUCCUUUUCCAAGCGUCAGUUCUAGUAAAUGGUGUCUCACCCGCAAAGGACCAGUGCCUUCCUGGCACCCCUGGCGGGCCCCUCCCGACACUGGCAGUCUGGACUUUGUCUUCCUUAGCCUUUCUGAUGAUCUGUGCAGGAGUCAGUCACUUCCUUGGGUGACUUGAAACCCCAUCACCCCCUUCCCUUGGCUGGCCGGGCACACCGUGAAGUCCCUGCUUCCCUCGAGCACCUUUGGGCCGUGAGUUCUCAGCCCAGGUAACUGCUCCGAGCAGGGGUGUUUCUGUGCUUGGUGCCCCCCACCCCCAGCACUGGGCUCGCUGUCAGUCACAGCGGGUGGGCAGCACUGACCCAGGCCUUGUCAGAGCACUGGGGGGAUGCUAGGCCAUCAGCCGAGCCUCCAUGCACAACUAAACCCAUGCCACCUCUCCCGUGGCUUCCCUGGCUCCGCGGCUUCCCUAUUGGCUCUUUGCUCUUUCUCUGGAACAUCUGGCCAGAUCCCACACAGGAGGUGCUCUGGGGAGCUUAUCAGGUGACUGAAGGAGGGAAGGAAGGAAGAGGAAGAGAUACGCGCAGGCUCUGGGGCUGUCCGGAAGCAGCCACCGUGGGGAGAGCUGCACACCACCCCCUGCAAGGUCCUCCUGCCUGCAGUGGUGGCAGCCCUAGCCAGACACCAAGAGCCCCCGGGGCAGCUGUCACCGGCCCUGCCAAGGUCCUGCCUGGAUCCUGGACACUCUGUGGGGCUCACUGGUCUCAAGGGCAGGCAGAGUGCAUGAAGGCCAGUAGCCUCCUCUGGAGGCCUGGGAACCUGGCCACUCCGUACCGCACCCUUCGACUUGUCCUGGGGCAGCAGUGGGUGCUAGGACCACAGCCAGGACUGAGUCACCCUGCACAUGGAGCCUGAGAAAGAAGGUCCAGGACAGCCCACAGCCGGCCACCCUUCACCAACCUGUCCCCAGACAGCACUCCCAGCCUUGUCCCCAGCAGGCCCUGUGGUCAAGCUCAUCCCCACAACAAAGGCCCCAAGAGUGGAGCUGCCAGCCACCCUGCUCACCAACAACCCCUCAGUGGCCUGGUGGCCAAGACAUGUCCCUCGCACUGUGAGGAGCACCAACACAUGUGCUCACACCACAGCAUGCACACGCAGCCCUGGGAGGCUGGGACGCUCCCCAGCAAGAGCCACCUCAACAGAGCCCCCCCGGGGUCCUACAGGAGACCCAUUUUUGCCCCCUCCCUGUCGCGAUGGGCAAAAGGUGUGACCUAUGCAGUCCAGGGGGAGAAAUAAAGAAUGUCCACGCGCUU
Marmota monax (woodchuck) is the source of this 2891-nucleotide long non-coding RNA. RefSeq lists it as uncharacterized. The transcript has 3 exons. NCBI's taxonomy places the organism in Eukaryota, Metazoa, Chordata, Mammalia, Rodentia, Sciuridae. The record is from RefSeq and is a predicted model, not a curated record.